Molecule: ribosomal RNA, 492 nt
Filed under: uncultured bacterium
Lineage: Bacteria
Description: partial 16S ribosomal RNA
Rfam family: Bacterial small subunit ribosomal RNA
Source: RNAcentral
AGUGAACGCUGGCGGUAGACCUAACACAUGCAAGUCGAACGGCAGCACAGUAAGAGCUUGCUCUUACGGGUGGCGAGUGGCGGACGGGUGAGGAAUACAUCGGAAUCUACUUUUUCGUGGGGGAUAACGUAGGGAAACUUACGCUAAUACCGCAUACGACCUACGGGUGAAAGCAGGGGAUCUUCGGACCUUGCGCGAUUGAAUGAGCCGAUGUCGGAUUAGCGAGUUGGCGGGGUAAAGGCCCACCAAGGCGACGAUCCGUAGCUGGUCUGAGAGGAUGAUCGGCCACACUGGAACUGAGACACGGUCCAGACUCCUACGGGAGGCAGCAGUGCGGAAUAUUGGACAAUGGGCGCAAGCCUGAUCCAGCCAUACCGCGUGGGUGAAGAAGGCCUUCGGGUUGUAAAGCCCUUUUGUUGGGAAAGAAAAGCAGCAGGUUAAUACCCCGCUGUUCUGACGGUACCCAAAGAAUAAGCACCGGCUAACUUCGUG